RNAcentral lists this ribosomal RNA (119 nucleotides) under Hordeum vulgare subsp. vulgare (domesticated barley). The record is from RNAcentral. Lineage: Eukaryota; Viridiplantae; Streptophyta; Magnoliopsida; Poales; Poaceae.
GGAUGCGAUCAUACCAGCACUAAAGCACCGGAUCCCAUCAGAAUUCCGAAAUUAAGCGUGCUUGGGCGAGAGUAGUACUAGGAUGGGUGACCUCCUGGGAAGUCCUCGUGUUGCAUUCC